AUGAACGCUGGCGGUAUGCUUAACACAUGNAAGUCGAACGAAGUUUUCGGACUUAGUGGCGGACGGGUGAGUAACGCGUAAGAAUCUACCUAUAGGUUCGGGACAACAGUUAGAAAUGACUGCUAAUACCGGAUGUGCCUUCGGGUGAAAGUUUUAAUGCCUGUAGAUGAGCUUGCGUUCGAUUAGCUAGAUGGUGAGGUAAUGGCUCACCAUGGCGACGAUCGAUAACUGGUCUGAGAGGAUGACCAGUCACACUGGGACUGAGACACGGCCCAGACUCCUACGGGAGGCAGCAGUGGGGAAUUUUCCGCAAUGGGCGAAAGCCUGACGGAGCAAUACCGCGUGAGGGACGAAGGUCUGUGGAUUGUAAACCUCUUUUGUUGGGGAAGAUAAUGACGGUACCCAACCAAUAAGCAUCGGCUAACUCCGUGCCAGCAGCCGCGGAAANACGGAGGAUGCCAAGCGUUAUCCCGGAAUUAUUGGGGCGGUAAAGC
RNAcentral lists this ribosomal RNA (494 nucleotides) under uncultured Antarctic cyanobacterium. Its description in RNAcentral is "bacterial SSU rRNA". It matches the Rfam family "Bacterial small subunit ribosomal RNA", at positions 29 to 566 of the family's 1533-position model. The record is from RNAcentral. Lineage: Bacteria; Bacillati; Cyanobacteriota.